AGUGAACGCUGGCGGUAGGCCUAACACAUGCAAGUCGAACGGCAGCACAGGAGAGCUUGCUCUCUGGGUGGCGAGUGGCGGACGGGUGAGGAAUACAUCGGAAUCUACUCUGUCGUGGGGGAUAACGUAGGGAAACUUACGCUAAUACCGCAUACGACCUACGGGUGAAAGCGGGGGACCUUCGGGCCUUGCGCGAUUGAAUGAGCCGAUGUCGGAGUAGCUAGUUGGCGGGGUAAAGGCCCACCAAGGCGACGAUCCGUAGCUGGUCGGUGAGGAUGGUCAGCCACACUGGAACUUAUACACGGUCCAGACUACUACGGGAGGGAGCAGUGGGGAAUAUUGGACAAUGGGCGCAAGCCUGAUCCAGCCAUACCGCGUGGGUGAAGAAGGCCUUCGGGUUGUAAAGGCCUUUUGUUGGGAAAGAAAUCCAGCUGGCUAAUACCCGGUUGGGAUGACGGUACCCAAAGAAUAAGCACCGGCUAACUUCGUGCCAGCCGCCGCAGUAA
RNAcentral lists this ribosomal RNA (506 nucleotides) under uncultured bacterium. RNAcentral's name for it is "partial 16S ribosomal RNA". It matches the Rfam family "Bacterial small subunit ribosomal RNA", at positions 29 to 523 of the family's 1533-position model. The record is from RNAcentral.